UGAUAGCCUCGUCGGGCCAGUCGAGCCACAACCGAGGCCAGGGAAUCCGGUGUGAAUCCGGAACUGACGCGCAGCGGUGAGGGGGACGGGCGGGGCACGACGUCACUGGGAGACCGGGAAGGCGCCCCGGCCGGACGAACCCGAGUCCGAAGACCUGCUGGCACCGCCGCGCCGCC
RNAcentral lists this non-coding RNA (176 nucleotides) under Streptomyces mangrovisoli. The record is from RNAcentral. Lineage: Bacteria; Bacillati; Actinomycetota; Actinomycetes; Kitasatosporales; Streptomycetaceae.